UAGCGGAAGUUUUCGGAUGGAAGUUAAAUUGACUGAGUGGCGGACGGGUGAGUAACGCGUGGGUAACCUGCCUCACACUGGGGGACAACAGUUAGAAAUGACUGCUAAUACCGCAUAAGCGCACAGGACCGCAUGGUCCGGUGUGAAAAACUCCGGUGGUGUGAGAUGGACCCGCGUUUGAUUAGCUAGUUGGUGGGGUAACGGCCUACCAAGGCGACGAUCAAUAGCCGACCUGAGAGGGUGACCGGCCACAUUGGGACUGAGACACGGCCCAAACUCCUACGGGAGGCAGCAGUGGGGAAUAUUGCACAAUGGGGGAAACCCUGAUGCAGCGACGCCGCGUGAGUGAAGAAGUAUUUCGGUAUGUAAAGCUCUAUCAGCAGGGAAGAAAAUGACGGUACCUGACUAAGAAGCCCCGGCUAACUACGUGCCAGCAGCCGCGGUAAUACGUAGGGGGCAAGCGUUAUCCGGAUUUACUGGGUGUAAAGGGAGCGUAGACGGUAAAGCAAGUCUGAAGUGAAAGCCCGGGGCUCAACCCCGGGACUGCUUUGGAAACUGUUUAACUAGAGUGCUGGAGAGGUAAGCGGAAUUCCUAGUGUAGCGGUGAAAUGCGUAGAUAUUAGGAGGAACACCAGUGGCGAAGGCGGCUUACUGGACUGUAACUGACACUGAGGCUCGAAAGCGUGNGGAGCAAACAGGAUUAGAUACCCUGGUAGUNCACGCCGU
This 726-nucleotide ribosomal RNA is filed under the name uncultured bacterium. RNAcentral describes it as "bacterial SSU rRNA". It matches the Rfam family "Bacterial small subunit ribosomal RNA", at positions 64 to 803 of the family's 1533-position model. The record is from RNAcentral.